Molecule: ribosomal RNA, 2353 nt
Filed under: Escherichia coli
Lineage: Bacteria; Pseudomonadati; Pseudomonadota; Gammaproteobacteria; Enterobacterales; Enterobacteriaceae
Description: bacterial LSU rRNA
Rfam family: Bacterial large subunit ribosomal RNA
Source: RNAcentral
GUGACUGCGUACCUUUUGUAUAAUGGGUCAGCGACUUAUAUUCUGUAGCAAGGUUAACCGAAUAGGGGAGCCGAAGGGAAACCGAGUCUUAACUGGGCGUUAAGUUGCAGGGUAUAGACCCGAAACCCGGUGAUCUAGCCAUGGGCAGGUUGAAGGUUGGGUAACACUAACUGGAGGACCGAACCGACUAAUGUUGAAAAAUUAGCGGAUGACUUGUGGCUGGGGGUGAAAGGCCAAUCAAACCGGGAGAUAGCUGGUUCUCCCCGAAAGCUAUUUAGGUAGCGCCUCGUGAAUUCAUCUCCGGGGGUAGAGCACUGUUUCGGCAAGGGGGUCAUCCCGACUUACCAACCCGAUGCAAACUGCGAAUACCGGAGAAUGUUAUCACGGGAGACACACGGCGGGUGCUAACGUCCGUCGUGAAGAGGGAAACAACCCAGACCGCCAGCUAAGGUCCCAAAGUCAUGGUUAAGUGGGAAACGAUGUGGGAAGGCCCAGACAGCCAGGAUGUUGGCUUAGAAGCAGCCAUCAUUUAAAGAAAGCGUAAUAGCUCACUGGUCGAGUCGGCCUGCGCGGAAGAUGUAACGGGGCUAAACCAUGCACCGAAGCUGCGGCAGCGACACUAUGUGUUGUUGGGUAGGGGAGCGUUCUGUAAGCCUGUGAAGGUGUACUGUGAGGUAUGCUGGAGGUAUCAGAAGUGCGAAUGCUGACAUAAGUAACGAUAAAGCGGGUGAAAAGCCCGCUCGCCGGAAGACCAAGGGUUCCUGUCCAACGUUAAUCGGGGCAGGGUGAGUCGACCCCUAAGGCGAGGCCGAAAGGCGUAGUCGAUGGGAAACAGGUUAAUAUUCCUGUACUUGGUGUUACUGCGAAGGGGGGACGGAGAAGGCUAUGUUGGCCGGGCGACGGUUGUCCCGGUUUAAGCGUGUAGGCUGAUUUUCCAGGCAAAUCCGGAAAAUCAAGGCUGAGGCGUGAUGACGAGGCACUACGGUGCUGAAGCAACAAAUGCCCUGCUUCCAGGAAAAGCCUCUAAGCAUCAGGUAACAUCAAAUCGUACCCCAAACCGACACAGGUGGUCAGGUAGAGAAUACCAAGGCGCUUGAGAGAACUCGGGUGAAGGAACUAGGCAAAAUGGUGCCGUAACUUCGGGAGAAGGCACGCUGAUAUGUAGGUGAAGCGACUUGCUCGUGGAGCUGAAAUCAGUCGAAGAUACCAGCUGGCUGCAACUGUUUAUUAAAAACACAGCACUGUGCAAACACGAAAGUGGACGUAUACGGUGUGACGCCUGCCCGGUGCCGGAAGGUUAAUUGAUGGGGUUAGCGGUAACGCGAAGCUCUUGAUCGAAGCCCCGGUAAACGGCGGCCGUAACUAUAACGGUCCUAAGGUAGCGAAAUUCCUUGUCGGGUAAGUUCCGACCUGCACGAAUGGCGUAAUGAUGGCCAGGCUGUCUCCACCCGAGACUCAGUGAAAUUGAACUCGCUGUGAAGAUGCAGUGUACCCGCGGCAAGACGGAAAGACCCCGUGAACCUUUACUAUAGCUUGACACUGAACAUUGAGCCUUGAUGUGUAGGAUAGGUGGGAGGCUUUGAAGUGUGGACGCCAGUCUGCAUGGAGCCGACCUUGAAAUACCACCCUUUAAUGUUUGAUGUUCUAACGUUGGCCCGUUAUCCGGGUUGCGGACAGUGUCUGGUGGGUAGUUUGACUGGGGCGGUCUCCUCCUAAAGAGUAACGGAGGAGCACGAAGGUUGGCUAAUCCUGGUCGGACAUCAGGAGGUUAGUGCAAUGGCAUAAGCCAGCUUGACUGCGAGCGUGACGGCGCGAGCAGGUGCGAAAGCAGGUCAUAGUGAUCCGGUGGUUCUGAAUGGAAGGGCCAUCGCUCAACGGAUAAAAGGUACUCCGGGGAUAACAGGCUGAUACCGCCCAAGAGUUCAUAUCGACGGCGGUGUUUGGCACCUCGAUGUCGGCUCAUCACAUCCUGGGGCUGAAGUAGGUCCCAAGGGUAUGGCUGUUCGCCAUUUAAAGUGGUACGCGAGCUGGGUUUAGAACGUCGUGAGACAGUUCGGUCCCUAUCUGCCGUGGGCGCUGGAGAACUGAGGGGGGCUGCUCCUAGUACGAGAGGACCGGAGUGGACGCAUCACUGGUGUUCGGGUUGUCAUGCCAAUGGCACUGCCCGGUAGCUAAAUGCGGAAGAGAUAAGUGCUGAAAGCAUCUAAGCACGAAACUUGCCCCGAGAUGAGUUCUCCCUGACUCCUUGAGAGUCCUGAAGGAACGUUGAAGACGACGACGUUGAUAGGCCGGGUGUGUAAGCGCAGCGAUGCGUUGAGCUAACCGGUACUAAUGAACCGUGAGGCUUAACCUU